Molecule: ribosomal RNA, 906 nt
Filed under: Neopestalotiopsis saprophytica
Lineage: Eukaryota; Fungi; Ascomycota; Sordariomycetes; Amphisphaeriales; Sporocadaceae
Description: LSU rRNA
Rfam family: Eukaryotic large subunit ribosomal RNA
Source: RNAcentral
CUUAAGCAUAUCAAUAAGCGGAGGAAAAGAAACCAACAGGGAUUGCCUUAGUAACGGCGAGUGAAGCGGCAACAGCUCAAAUUUGAAAUCUGGCCCUUGGGUCCGAAUUGUAAUUUGUAGAGGAUGAUUUUGGUGCGGUAUCUUCCGAGUUCCUUGGAACAGGACGCCUUAGAGGGUGAGAGCCCCGUACGGUUGAAUGCCUAGCCUCUGUAAAUCUCCUUCGACGAGUCGAGUAGUUUGGGAAUGCUGCUCUAAAUGGGAGGUAAAUUUCUUCUAAAGCUAAAUAUUGGCCAGAGACCGAUAGCGCACAAGUAGAGUGAUCGAAAGAUGAAAAGCACUUUGAAAAGAGGGUUAAAUAGCACGUGAAAUUGUUGAAAGGGAAGGAUUUGUGACCAGACUUUUUCUGGGCGGAUCAUCCGGGGUUCUCUCCGGUGCACUUCGCCCAGUAAAGGCCAGCAUCGGUUUUCGGCGUGGGAUAAAAGCAGUAGGAAUGUGGCUCUCUACGGGGAGUGUUAUAGCCUAUUGUAUAAUACCGCGCUGGGGACCGAGGUUCGCGCUUCUGCAAGGAUGCUGGCGUAAUGGUUAUCAAUCACCCGUCUUGAAACACGGACCAAGGAGUCGAACAUUUGUGCGAGUGUUUGGGUGUUAAACCCUCACGCGUAAUGAAAGUGAACGGAGGUGAGAGCCCUUACGGGUGCAUCAUCGACCGAUCCUGAAGUUUUCGGAUGGAUUUGAGUAAGAGCAUAACUGUUCGGACCCGAAAGAUGGUGAACUAUGCGUGGAUAGGGUGAAGCCAGAGGAAACUCUGGUGGAGGCUCGCAGCGGUUCUGACGUGCAAAUCGAUCGUCAAAUCUGCGCAUGGGGGCGAAAGACUAAUCGAACCAUCUAGUAGCUGGUUACCGCCGA